Small nuclear RNA from Oryctolagus cuniculus (rabbit), 171 nucleotides. Its record names the gene U1. It matches the Rfam family "U1 spliceosomal RNA". Rfam says of the family: U1 is a small nuclear RNA (snRNA) component of the spliceosome (involved in pre-mRNA splicing). Its 5' end forms complementary base pairs with the 5' splice junction, thus defining the 5' donor site of an intron. There are significant differences in sequence and secondary structure between metazoan and yeast U1 snRNAs, the latter being much longer (568 nucleotides as compared to 164 nucleotides in human). Lineage: Eukaryota; Metazoa; Chordata; Mammalia; Lagomorpha; Leporidae. The record is from Ensembl.
AUACUUCCCUGGCAGGGGAGAUACCAUGAUCACAAAGUUGGUUUUCCCAGGGCAAGGCUUAUCCAUUAUACUCCGGAUGUGCAGCCCCCUGUGGUUUCCUCAAAUGUGGGAAACCCGACUGCAUAAUUUUUAAUUAGUGGUAGUGGGGGACUGCGUUUGUGCUUUCGUCUG